CCCUUAGAUGUCCUGGGCCGCACGCGCGCUACACUGAACGGAUCAGCGCGUUUUCCCUUCCCGAGAGGGACGGGUAACCUGCUGAACCCCGUUCGUGGUAGGGAUCGGGGCUUGCAAUUAUUCCCCGUGAACCAGGAAUGCCCAGUAAGUGCAAGUCAUAAGCUUGCGUUGAUUACGUCCCUGCCCUUUGUACACACCGCCCGUCGCUACUACCGAUUGAACGUUUUAGUGAGGUACUCGGACUGAGCCUCAGAAGAUUCACGUCUUUUGUGCUGCUCGGGAAGAUUCCCAAACUUGAGCGUUUAGCGGAAGUAAAAGUCGUAACA
This 326-nucleotide ribosomal RNA is filed under the name uncultured eukaryote. Its description in RNAcentral is "partial 18S ribosomal RNA". It matches the Rfam family "Eukaryotic small subunit ribosomal RNA", at positions 1470 to 1796 of the family's 1831-position model. The record is from RNAcentral.